UACGAAGGGUGCAAGCGUUACUCGGAAUUACUGGGCGUAAAGCGUGCGUAGGUGGUUGUUUAAGUCUGUCGUGAAAGCCCUGGGCUCAACCUGGGAAUGGCGAUGGAAACUGGGCAACUAGAGUGUGGUAGAGGGUAGUGGAAUUUCCGGUGUAGCAGUGAAAUGCGUAGAGAUCGGAAGGAACAUCUGUGGCGAAGGCGACUACCUGGACCAACACUGACACUGAGGCACGAAAGCGUGGGGAGCAAACAGG
RNAcentral lists this ribosomal RNA (253 nucleotides) under uncultured bacterium. RNAcentral describes it as "partial 16S ribosomal RNA". It matches the Rfam family "Bacterial small subunit ribosomal RNA", at positions 524 to 776 of the family's 1533-position model. The record is from RNAcentral.